CCGGAGCUUGCGUCCACCGGAAAAAGAGGAGUGGCGAACGGGUGAGUAACACGUGGGUAACCUGCCCAUCAGAAGGGGAUAACACUUGGAAACAGGUGCUAAUACCGUAUAACAAUCGAAACCGCAUGGUUUUGAUUUGAAAGGCGCUUUCGGGUGUCGCUGAUGGAUGGACCCGCGGUGCAUUAGCUAGUUGGUGAGGUAACGGCUCACCAAGGCCACGAUGCAUAGCCGACCUGAGAGGGUGAUCGGCCACAUUGGGACUGAGACACGGCCCAAACUCCUACGGGAGGCAGCAGUAGGGAAUCUUCGGCAAUGGACGAAAGUCUGACCGAGCAACGCCGCGUGAGUGAAGAAGGUUUUCGGAUCGUAAAACUCUGUUGUUAGAGAAGAACAAGGAUGAGAGUAACUGUUCAUCCCUUGACGGUAUCUAACCAGAAAGCCACGGCUAACUACGUGCCAGCAGCCGCGGUAAUACGUANGUGGCAAGCGUUGUCCGGAUUUAUUGGGCGUA
RNAcentral lists this ribosomal RNA (511 nucleotides) under uncultured bacterium. Its description in RNAcentral is "bacterial SSU rRNA". It matches the Rfam family "Bacterial small subunit ribosomal RNA", at positions 71 to 562 of the family's 1533-position model. The record is from RNAcentral.